Molecule: ribosomal RNA, 1374 nt
Filed under: uncultured bacterium
Lineage: Bacteria
Description: partial 16S ribosomal RNA
Rfam family: Bacterial small subunit ribosomal RNA
Source: RNAcentral
GAUGAACGCUGGCGGCGUGCCUAAUACAUGCAAGUCGAGCGAAUUGACAGAGGUGCUUGCACCUCUCGAUUUUAGCGGCGGACGGGUGAGUAACACGUGGGUAACCUACCUAUAAGACUGGGAUAACUUCGGGAAACCGGAGCUAAUACCGGAUAAUAUUUAGCUUCGCAUGAAGCAAUAGUGAAAGACGGUUCUGCUGUCACUUAUAGACGGACCUGCGGUGUAUUAGCUAGUUGGUGAGGUAACGGCUCACCAAGGCAGCGAUACAUAGCCGACCUGAGAGGGUGAUCGGUCACACUGGGACUGAGACACGGCCCAGACUCCUACGGGAGGCAGCAGUAGGGAAUCUUCCGCAAUGGACGAAAGUCUGACGGAGCAACGCCGCGUGAGUGAAGAAGGUUUUCGGAUCGUAAAACUCUGUUGUAAGGGAAGAACAAGUACGUUAGUAACUGAACGUACCUUGACGGUACCCUACCAGAAAGCCACGGCUAACUACGUGCCAGCAGCCGCGGUAAUACGUAGGUGGCAAGCGUUAUCCGGAAUUAUUGGGCGUAAAGCGCGCGUAGGCGGUCUCUUAAGUCUGAUGUGAAAGCCCCCGGCUCAACCGGGGAGGGUCAUUGGAAACUGGGAGACUUGAGUACAGAAGAGGAAAAUGGAAUUCCAAGUGUAGCGGUGGAAUGCGUAGAUAUUUGGAGGAACACCAGUGGCGAAGGCGAUUUUCUGGUCUAACAUUGACGCUGAGGCUCGAAAGCGUGGGGAGCGAACAGGAUUAGAUACCCUGGUAGUCCACGCCGUAAACGAUGAGUGCUAAGUGUUGGGGGCUUUCCGGCCCUCGGUGCUGGAGCUAACGUAUUAAGCACUCCGCCUGGGGAUUACGACCGCAAGAUUGGAACUCAAAAGAAUUGACGGGGACCCGCACAAGCGGUGGAGCAUGUGGUUUAAUUCGAAGCAACGCGAAGAACCUUACCAGCUCUUGACACCUUCUGACAACUCUAGAGAUAGAGCGUUCCCUUCGGGGACAGAAUGACAGGUGGUGCAUGGUUGUCGUCAGCUCGUGUCGUGAGAUGUUGGGUUAAGUCCCGCAACGAGCGCAACCCUUGUCUUAUGUUGCCAGCACGUUAUGGUGGGGACUCAUGAGAGACUGCCGGGGUUAACUCGGAGGAAGGUGGGGACGACGUCAAGUCAUCAUGCCCCUUAUGUCCAGGGCUUCACACAUGCUACAAUGGCCGGUACAAUGCGCAGCGAGCCUGUGAGGGUGAGCUAAUCGCUUAAAGCUGGUCUUAGUUCGGAUUGUAGGCUGCAACUCGCCUACAUGAAGUCGGGAUCGCUAGUAAUCGCGGAUCAGCACGCCGCGGUGAAUACGUUCCCGGGCCU